AGAGUUUGAUCCUGGCUCAGGAUGAACGCUGGCGGCGUGCCUAACACAUGCAAGUCGAGCGAACUCUUCGGAGUGAGCGGCGGACGGGUGAGUAACGCGUGGGUAACCUGCCCUGUAUACAUGGAUAACAUACCGAAAGGUAUGCUAAUACGAGAUAAUAUGCUUUUAUCGCAUGGUAGAAGUAUCAAAGCUUUUGCGGUACAGGAUGGACCCGCGUCUGAUUAGCUAGUUGGUAAGGUAACGGCUUACCAAGGCGACGAUCAGUAGCCGACCUGAGAGGGUGAUCGGCCACAUUGGAACUGAGACACGGUCCAAACUCCUACGGGAGGCAGCAGUGGGGAAUAUUGCACAAUGGGCGAAAGCCUGAUGCAGCAACGCCGCGUGAGCGAUGAAGGCCUUCGGGUCGUAAAGCUCUGUCCUCAAGGAAGAUAAUGACGGUACUUGAGGAGGAAGCCCCGG
RNAcentral lists this ribosomal RNA (459 nucleotides) under uncultured bacterium. RNAcentral's name for it is "bacterial SSU rRNA". It matches the Rfam family "Bacterial small subunit ribosomal RNA", at positions 8 to 496 of the family's 1533-position model. The record is from RNAcentral.